This 612-nucleotide ribosomal RNA is filed under the name Triticum aestivum (bread wheat). RNAcentral's name for it is "partial small subunit ribosomal RNA". The record is from RNAcentral. Lineage: Eukaryota; Viridiplantae; Streptophyta; Magnoliopsida; Poales; Poaceae.
AUGGAUUGGGGAUUUGGGGGGGGAACUAGGGUUAGGCGGCAGCGGCGGCGAUUCCUUGAGGGGUGCGGCGGAGGAGGCGAUUGCACAGGGGGCGGCGGCGGCUGCGUCGAGGGCAAUGUCGUGCUGUUUGGGUGGCUAGCCGCUGGAAGGAGAGGGGAGGAAUCGAGGUCGCUGGUGCCGUACCACAAGAACCCGAUGGCGUACGAUCCAGCGAAGCUCUGCUGGUGCAACCCCCGUCGGAAGGCGCCAAGUUGGAUCUCGUGGAGCCGUCAGAACCCAGGCAGGAGGUACUACGCCUGCGUUGAUGCCAUGGUGAGCUUCAAGUUGGUGUUUAUUUUCUGUUCAUUUGUUUUCCUUUGUUUUUCUCCCCUCUCAUUGAUUUCUGUUGGUACAAUUGAACAGCAUGGUGGUUGUGGAUUCGUGGAAUGGCAUGAUGAUCCUCUUCCCAAGUUUUGGAGUGAUUUGAUUGGUGAUUUGCGAGAUGAAGUGUGUAGGCUGAGAGGUCAAGGAAGUGUUGCCGUGAUUGAAGAUCCCACUGCAGUUGUGGCUCUGCAUGAAGAUGAAACAGGAGCAAUGGGAAUGGCUAUGUCUCUGCAAGAUCAGUUGAAGUAG